This 721-nucleotide long non-coding RNA is filed under the name Anas platyrhynchos platyrhynchos (common mallard). RNAcentral describes it as "lncRNA (ENSAPLG00000030164.1)". The record is from RNAcentral. Lineage: Eukaryota; Metazoa; Chordata; Aves; Anseriformes; Anatidae.
GCUAUGGGUCUGCUAUGGGGCACCAAACCCCCCCCCACACCUGCUAUGGGGCAGCCAUGGGUCCGCUAUAGGGCACUAUGGGGCAGUUAUGGGACCCCCAACACCCUCCCCAGGGUGCUAUGGGGCAGUUUUGGGACCCCAAAGCCCCCCCAGGGCGCUAUGGGUCCGCUAUGGGUCCGCUAUGGGUCCGCUAUGGGGCAGCCAUGGGACACUAUAGGGCAGCUAUGGGGCACCAAGACCCCCCCCACUCUCCCUAUGGGGCACUAUGGGGCAGUGAUGGGGCACCAAGACCCCCCCACAGGGUGCUAUGGGGCAGUUAUGGGACCCCCAACACCCUCCCCAGGGUGCUAUGGGGCAGUUUUGGGACCCCAAAGCCCCCCCAGGGCGCUAUGGGUCCGCUAUGGGUCCGCUAUGGGUCCGCUAUGGGGCAGCCAUGGGACACUAUAGGGCAGCUAUGGGGCACCAAGACCCCCCCCACUCUCCCUAUGGGGCACUAUGGGGCAGUGAUGGGGCCCCCCGCCCCCCCCCCCGGGCCCUAUGGGUCCGCUAUGGGGCGCUAUGGGGCAGCUAUGGGUCUGCUAUGGGUCCGGCCCUCACUCCCCGGGGGGCACGGGCAGGGGGGGCCCUCGGGGGUCGUCGAAGCGAUCCAUGGGGCGCAGCCCCAGCAGCAGGGCCCCCCCCCCUGCGCCAGCGCCGCCAGCAGCAGCCCCCCCACCACCAG